RNAcentral lists this ribosomal RNA (253 nucleotides) under uncultured bacterium. RNAcentral's name for it is "partial 16S ribosomal RNA". It matches the Rfam family "Bacterial small subunit ribosomal RNA", at positions 524 to 776 of the family's 1533-position model. The record is from RNAcentral.
UACGUAGGGUGCAAGCGUUAAUCGGAAUUACUGGGCGUAAAGCGUGCGCAGGCGGUGAUGUAAGUCACUUGUGAAAUCUCCGGGCUUAACCCGGAGCGGCCAAGUGAUACUGUCGUGCUAGAGUGCGGAAGGGGCUACUGGAAUUCCUGGUGUAGCGGUGAAAUGCGCAGAUAUCAGGAGGAACACCGGUGGCGAAGGCGGUUCUCUGGGCAUUACCUGACGCUGAGGAGCGAAAGUGUGGGGAGCGAACAGG